UACAGGGGGGGCAAGCGUUGUUCGGAAUUACUGGGCGUAAAGGGCUCGUAGGUGGCCAACUAAGUCAGACGUGAAAUCCCUCAGCUUAACUGGGGAACUGCGUCUGAUACUGGAUGGCUUGAGUUUGGGAGAGGGAUGCGGAAUUCCAGGUGUAGCGGUGAAAUGCGUAGAUAUCAGGAGGAACACCAGCGGUGUAGACGGCUUUCUGGACCAUUGCUGACGCUGAGACACGAAAGCGUGGGUAGCAAACAGG
This 253-nucleotide ribosomal RNA is filed under the name uncultured bacterium. RNAcentral's name for it is "partial 16S ribosomal RNA". It matches the Rfam family "Bacterial small subunit ribosomal RNA", at positions 524 to 776 of the family's 1533-position model. The record is from RNAcentral.